Molecule: ribosomal RNA, 388 nt
Filed under: uncultured Pseudomonadaceae bacterium
Lineage: Bacteria; Pseudomonadati; Pseudomonadota; Gammaproteobacteria; Pseudomonadales; Pseudomonadaceae
Description: bacterial SSU rRNA
Rfam family: Bacterial small subunit ribosomal RNA
Source: RNAcentral
AGAGUUUGAUCAUGGCUCAGAUUGAACGCUGGCGGCAGGCCUAACACAUGCAAGUCGAGCGGAUGAAAGGAGCUUGCUCCUUGAUUCAGCGGCGGACGGGUGAGUAAUGCCUAGGAAUCUGCCUGGUAGUGGGGGACAACGUUUCGAAAGGAACGCUAAUACCGCAUACGUCCUACGGGAGAAAGCAGGGGACCUUCGGGCCUUGCGCUAUCAGAUGAGCCUAAGUCGGAUUAGCUAGUUGGUGAGGUAAUGGCUCACCAAGGCGACGAUCCGUAACUGGUCUGAGAGGAUGAUCAGUCACACUGGAACUGAGACACGGUCCAGACUCCUACGGGAGGCAGCAGUGGGGAAUAUUGGACAAUGGGCGAAAGCCUGAUCCAGCCAUGCC